This 76-nucleotide transfer RNA is filed under the name Lactobacillus helveticus. Its description in RNAcentral is "tRNA-Met(cat)". It matches the Rfam family "tRNA". Rfam says of the family: Transfer RNA (tRNA) molecules are approximately 80 nucleotides in length. Their secondary structure includes four short double-helical elements and three loops (D, anti-codon, and T loops). The record is from RNAcentral. Lineage: Bacteria; Bacillati; Bacillota; Bacilli; Lactobacillales; Lactobacillaceae.
UCGCGGUAUGGAGCAGUCUGGUAGCUCGUCGGGCUCAUAACCCGAAGGUCGUUGGUUCAAAUCCAGCUCCCGCAAU